This is a long non-coding RNA of Suricata suricatta (meerkat), 434 nucleotides long. RefSeq lists it as uncharacterized. NCBI's taxonomy places the organism in Eukaryota, Metazoa, Chordata, Mammalia, Carnivora, Herpestidae. The record is from RefSeq and is a predicted model, not a curated record. The transcript has 3 exons.
GGAAAACUGUAUGGAGGUUCCUCAAAAAAGUAAAAAGAGAACUACCCUACGGCCCAGCAAUCGCAUUGCGAGGAAUGAAUAUCCAAAGCACUCAAGCGGAGAAAAAGAAGGCGGACACAAAGGAUUACAUACUGCAUAUUUAUGUGUCUAACAGACGCUAGACCGAGCCUCUGACAUCUCCUCCCUCGAGGCUUCAGCAGAUAUCACCAUGCCGCAACUCUCUGGUGUGUUUCAAAGGUCUCAUACAACUUAAGAUGUCCAUGGACAGCGUUGGGGAAUCAAUUAGUUUCACAUCUUCAACAACUCUGGCACCCACAGUCGUUGUAAUUGUCUUCUUUCAUGUGGUCAUUGGGUAUGUACACUGUUUUUCAUUUCUUGAGUUUUGUAACCCAUAGAUAUGUCAACGACUUCAAAAUAAAAGUGCCUGUAUUGGC